This is a long non-coding RNA of Clarias gariepinus (North African catfish), 1100 nucleotides long. RefSeq lists it as uncharacterized. The record is from RefSeq and is a predicted model, not a curated record. The transcript has 3 exons. Lineage: Eukaryota; Metazoa; Chordata; Actinopteri; Siluriformes; Clariidae.
CCAGUUUCAAAUUCCCCCCAUUACAGAGGGUUAGGCCCUUGAGCAAGACACUUAAUCUUCAACUGCUCAGAUGCACUCUAAAAAAUGAUUCUGUGGCCUUGUAAAUUUCACAGUUAUAAAAAAGUUAUGUUACCUUAAUAAAAUCUCUAAAAGUCACAUACAUGAUUGUUUGAGUUAGACAAAUCAAAAUAAAUGCCUAAAAAAACAAUUAUUCAUUUUGUCUUAAAUUUACACUAUAAUUUAAGUUUACUUCACUAGUAAAAAUCAGUAUUUGACUAACUGAAUUAUAUUUUUAACAUGCACUUAAUAUUUUUUGAUACAUUUCAAUCAAAAUAUCUGUUAAUGGAGUAAUUGUACUGAUUAGUUUCAAGAACUACAAUUAUAAAUUAUUCCAACUCAAUAUUCUUUAUUUUUAACAACAAAAACUUAAAUAAUUGAGUAAAUUGCCCUGUGCAAGUGCUCAUGGGAAGUCUGGUGUAACAUCAGAGACAAGAAGGCUGUGAGGAUGUGAGAAUGGACAUGAAGCACCUGGAACAUUCCUUACAAAUCCUGCACCAACACCACUAAUGAAGAGAAGUUGAAUGGAGAUAAAACAGGAGGUGCCAGUUUAUGGGAUGGCGGUGUAAGCUCUGCACAUUUGUCGUAUCAUCAAAAGGAAUUUCGAUCAUUACCGAGUGAAGCAUGGUACUGUUGGUCAUGGAUAUUUAGUGUCCUGUCUUCAUUUAGACUGUCAUUGCAUUUUUAAGACCUGAGAAGGUCUGCACACACAUUUGUAUGGAUCCCACAGUUUGCAGGAAACUGAAGUGUGAAGGUGUGCAAUCUUACAGAUGUAAAAUGUGACUCAUUAGAUUCUAAUACAAAAGUCUACUUUCCACAUGUUAACUGUAUAAUACUUGUGGCAGAAGUAUUGUUUGUGAAACUGUUUACUAAUAAGAUAAAUCCAGCUCUCUGUUUAUGAUCUUGUUACAUGUCAUUUGCAAAGUAAACCAGGUUGAGUUUAGACUUCAUGUCUUGUCAAAUUUGGCAAAUAAAUGUUUAAUUAAAAUGAAAAUGUGUGUAUUGUUUCUUUUAUUUAGUUAAAAUAUUUAGUAAAUGUAGCA